RNAcentral lists this ribosomal RNA (986 nucleotides) under human gut metagenome. RNAcentral describes it as "bacterial LSU rRNA". It matches the Rfam family "Bacterial large subunit ribosomal RNA", at positions 1945 to 2925 of the family's 2925-position model. The record is from RNAcentral.
ACGGUCCUAAGGUAGCGAAAUUCCUUGUCGGGUAAGUUCCGACCUGCACGAAUGGCAUAAUGAUGGCCACACUGUCUCCUCCUGAGACUCAGUGAAGUUGAAAUGUUUGUGAUGAUGCAAUCUCCCCGCGGCUAGACGGAAAGACCCCAUGAACCUUUACUGCAGCUUUGCAUUGGACUUUGAACCGAUCUGUGUAGGAUAGGUGGGAGGCAGUGAAGCUAGGACGCCAGUCUUAGCGGAGCCAACCUUGAAAUACCACCCUGAUUUGUUUGAGGUUCUAACCUAGGAGCGUGAUCCGCUUCGGGGACCGUGCAUGGUAGGCAGUUUGACUGGGGCGGUCUCCUCCUAAAGGGUAACGGAGGAGUGCGAAGGUACGCUAGGUACGGUCGGAAAUCGUGCUGAUAGUGCAAUGGCAAAAGCGUGCUUGACUGCGAGACCGACAAGUCGAGCAGAUACGAAAGUAGGUCAUAGUGAUCCGGUGGCUCUGCAUGGAAGGGCCAUCGCUCAACGGAUAAAAGGUACUCUGGGGAUAACAGGCUGAUACCGCCCAAGAGUUCAUAUCGACGGCGGUGUUUGGCACCUCGAUGUCGGCUCAUCUCAUCCUGGGGCUGUAGCCGGUCCCAAGGGUAUGGCUGUUCGCCAUUUAAAGAGGUACGUGAGCUGGGUUUAAAACGUCGUGAGACAGUUUUGUCCCUAUCUGCCGUGGGCGUUGGAAGAUUGACGGGGGCUGCUCCUAGUACGAGAGGACCGGAGUGGACUCACCUCUGGUGUACCGGUUGUCACGCCAGUGGCAUCGCCGGGUAGCUAUGUGGGGAAAGGAUAACCGCUGAAAGCAUCUAAGCGGGAAACCUGCCUGAAGAUAAGUCUUCCUGGAGGCUUUGACCUCCCUGAAGAGUCGUUCGAGACCAGGACGUUGAUAGGUUGGAUGUGCAAGCGCUGUGAGGCGUUGAGCUGACCAAUACUAAUUGCUCGUGAAGCUUGAUCCU